Molecule: ribosomal RNA, 465 nt
Filed under: Vreelandella stevensii
Lineage: Bacteria; Pseudomonadati; Pseudomonadota; Gammaproteobacteria; Oceanospirillales; Halomonadaceae
Description: partial 16S ribosomal RNA
Rfam family: Bacterial small subunit ribosomal RNA
Source: RNAcentral
CCUACGGGUGGCAGCAGUGGGGAAUAUUGGACAAUGGGGGCAACCCUGAUCCAGCCAUGCCGCGUGUGUGAAGAAGGCCCUCGGGUUGUAAAGCACUUUCAGUGAGGAAGAACGCCUGGUGGUUAAUACCCAUCAGGAAAGACAUCACUCACAGAAGAAGCACCGGCUAACUCCGUGCCAGCAGCCGCGGUAAUACGGAGGGUGCGAGCGUUAAUCGGAAUUACUGGGCGUAAAGCGCGCGUAGGUGGCUUGAUAAGCCGGUUGUGAAAGCCCCGGGCUCAACCUGGGAACGGCAUCCGGAACUGUCGAGCUAGAGUGCAGGAGAGGAAGGUAGAAUUCCCGGUGUAGCGGUGAAAUGCGUAGAGAUCGGGAGGAAUACCAGUGGCGAAGGCGGCCUUCUGGACUGACACUGACACUGAGGUGCGAAAGCGUGGGUAGCAAACAGGAUUAGAUACCCCGGUAGUC